UACGUAGGGUGCGAGCGUUAUCCGGAAUCAUUGGGCGUAAAGAGCUCGUAGGCGGUUCAGCAAGUCGGCUGUGAAAGUCCGGGGCUCAACCUCGGAAUUGCAGUCGAUACUGCUGUGACUCGAGUCCGGUAGAGGAGAAUGGAAUUCUCGGUGUAGCGGUGAAAUGCGCAGUGAUCGGGAGGAACACCAGUGGCGAAGGCGGUUCUCUGGGCCGGCACUGACGCUGAGGAGCGAACGCGUGGGGAGCAAACAGG
Molecule: unclassified non-coding RNA, 254 nt
Filed under: uncultured Acidimicrobiia bacterium
Lineage: Bacteria; Bacillati; Actinomycetota; Acidimicrobiia
Description: contains 16S-23S intergenic spacer region
Rfam family: Bacterial small subunit ribosomal RNA
Source: RNAcentral